CUGGGCUCCAUCGCCAGGACCUCCGUCGAAAGAAAGAAGCUACGUGCGAACCUAAAAUACCUCAAGACCCUAGGUCCAGAUACCACGUGCAGUACUGCUUGCUUUCCUUUUGCCCGCUGUCUUCACACGUACCCCAAACACGACCAGGUUUUUCCCUCGAAAAAUUCUUCAGUCCUCUGAAGUUCUUCUGGGCCCCGUUAGUUCACGGAAAGAUGUUGAGGGGGUUAGACUUCAGGUGUGCGGACAGUUCAAGUGUAGUGCUGUCGCUAACGUCUGUGUGCCUGCACCCUCUAGGUGACACGUGGCCCUUAAGCUCGGGACAAGAGGAAGACGUGGAGUCCCCUGACGAGGAGGAAGGGGCGCCCGAGCCAGAAACCGAACGGGAAGACACCCGUCCUGAGGCGAACGUAGCUGACGAAGGUGCUCCGGAGGAGCCAACCGAGGACGAGACAUUGACGUCUGCGCUCGCAGCAGACCAGCCUGACGUGUCCGGUGACACGUGGCCCUUAAGCUCGGGACAAGAGGAAGACGUGGAGUCCCCUGACGAGGAGGAAGGGGCGCCCGAGCCAGAAACCGAACGGGAAGACACCCGUCCUGAGGCGAACGUAGCUGACGAAGGUGCUCCGGAGGAGCCAACCGAGGACGAGACAUUGACGUCUGCGCUCGCAGCAGACCAGCCUGACGUGUCCGGUGACACGUGGCCCUUAAGCUCGGGACAAGAGGAAGACGUGGAGUCCCCUGACGAGGAGGAAGUUUCAACGCAGUCAGAAAGUGCAGUGGAAUAUUAUACUGAAUACUUUGCAGAUGCUACUGAGGAACCAGCUGUGCAGGAGAAGAUCACAUUUGAUGAAGGGAUUUUAAUGUUUAUAUUAUUGUUUUGUAGCUUUUGUGUGAUUUUUAUUGUAUUAUAUAAAUCUACCCUUGAUGAGAUAUGGCGGGGUUAAUUGGUAUAUACUGCGUUGUAUCCAUUUGUUAAUUGUUUCCCCCUCGAUUCAUUAAACCCGUCUUUAUAGCUCAAAAAUAUGUGAUUUGUAUUUGUAUAGAUUGUGUUUGGGUUCUUAACCUAUGUUUUCUCUUAUUUCAGAAGUAUUUGUCAUCCUGUUUCUAUUGGUUUUUUUUUUUAUAAGUGUAUAUGUUAAUUUUUACAGUGAUUCUGACAAAAAUAUUUGAUUAAAAGGAAUAGUGUGUUGGUUUUUGUUAUUUUUUCUGUUUUCAUCUCUUGAACUUUUAAAACAUGUUCUUGCUUCCUUCGAAAUGUUGUAUUUUCAAGUAGAGCUGCAGGGACAUUGCAGGAGAACGAACAGCAUGGUAAGCAGUAUGAAAUACGUUACGUUCUUAUACCAUCAGUUGAUUCAGUUGUGCUCUAUUCAGGGCCAUCCCUGAUUCUAGGAAUGGAUUCUAUUCCUCAAACUGCGUGAGCAGUAUGCACUGUUUCCUGUUUUAAAAUAUAUCUACCCACCCCAUCCCGCAUCUCAAGUGUUUUCUCACCCUUUAUGCACUGUUCUUUACUCAUUUGAAUUGUCAAUGGGGCCCCACUGCAGAUUUCCAGGGGCCUUUCUGUGGUCCGCUCCCUCCUCGCCAGCCCUCUCUUGUCUGAUCUCUUAUCUGCGUUGGUUUUGUCUGACUCUCUGCUUCAUCACCUCGACUGAGGGUGUCUGGUGGGCCCUCCUACCUCUGUUCCCUGUCCCUGUGUCACAGCCUGCAUAUUCUCCCAAGGCCGUGCACUGGGGCGUCCAUUAGACUCACUUCAUGUGUGUUUAGGGAUCACUGUCCUUCAUUGUCUG
Molecule: long non-coding RNA, 1784 nt
Organism: Camelus dromedarius (Arabian camel)
Lineage: Eukaryota; Metazoa; Chordata; Mammalia; Artiodactyla; Camelidae
Source: Ensembl